GCUGGAAUUUAAAACCAGCUCAUUUGCAUAAUGUUCGCAUAUAGACGCCUCUUUUCCGCUUGGUUGACGCUUGGUUUUAAAUUUGACGCUUGGUUAUCCAUAUGAGUGCUAGAUUUAAAAUUUUUAAAACCAACUGGUUUUAGUCUGAUUUUGACGCCUGGUUUCCUGCUCACAACCAGGCGGUUAAUUUCGUACAGGAUGUAAACAUAUGGCGGUUUCUGGAGCUCAUAUUUUGUGUGGAUAAACCUUUUUCCUUAUCAUUUGAAAGAUGACCAAUAUUGUGUCUGUGACAAAGAUGAGGAUCCUGUGACCAACAAGAUUUGAUGGGAAAGUUGGAAAGCUUAAAAGAACAUGCUAAAAAUGAUUACGUUCCCAGAUAGUGCAGAAAGAAUGAAGCAGAAUCCGACCAACAGCAGCAGAACUAAAUGGGGCGAUAACGGAACAAGGUUCAUUCUGUCGAAAACAUAUUAAACACAGAAUAUGAACUCUUAAAACAAUAAGUGAUAGUAAAAAUGUGUAAAAAAUAACAUUUUCAGCUGUGCCUUUAUUAAGAAAAUAUAUUAAACAAUGUUUUAUUGUCCUGUUUUCCG
Molecule: long non-coding RNA, 590 nt
Organism: Mya arenaria
Lineage: Eukaryota; Metazoa; Mollusca; Bivalvia; Myida; Myidae
Exons: 3
Source: RefSeq, a predicted model, not a curated record